GAAAUGCGAUAAGUAAUGUGAAUUGCAGAAUUCAGUGAAUCAUCGAAUCUUUGAACGCACAUUGCGCCCGCCAGCACUCUGGCGGGCAUGUCUGUUCGAGCGUCAUUUCAACCCUCAGAACCCCUUGCGGGAUCUGGCGUUGGGGAUUGGCAUCCAGCCAGCCCCGAAAUCUAGUGGCGGUCCCUCCGCGACCUCCCCUGUGCAGUAGCGAUACCUCGCAGCGGGACAGCGGUCUGACCACGCUGUAAAACCCCCAACUUCUCAAGGUUGACCUCGAAUCAGGUAGGAAUACCCGCUGAACUUAAGC
RNAcentral lists this unclassified non-coding RNA (307 nucleotides) under plant metagenome. Its description in RNAcentral is "partial contains 5.8S ribosomal RNA, internal transcribed spacer 2, and large subunit ribosomal RNA". The stretch from base 1 to 105 matches the Rfam family "5.8S ribosomal RNA", at positions 50 to 154 of the family's 154-position model. The record is from RNAcentral.